RNAcentral lists this ribosomal RNA (492 nucleotides) under uncultured bacterium. RNAcentral describes it as "partial 16S ribosomal RNA". It matches the Rfam family "Bacterial small subunit ribosomal RNA", at positions 29 to 507 of the family's 1533-position model. The record is from RNAcentral.
AGUGAACGCUGGCGGUAGGCCUAACACAUGCAAGUCGAACGGCAGCACAGUAAGAGCUUGCUCUUACGGGUGGCGAGUGGCGGACGGGUGAGGAAUACAUCGGAAUCUACUUUUUCGUGGGGGAUAACGUAGGGAAACUUACGCUAAUACCGCAUACGACCUACGGGUGAAAUCAGGGGAUCUUCGCACCUUGCGCGACUGAAUGAGCCGAUGUCGGAUUAGCUAGUUGGCGGGGUAAAGGCCCACCAAGGCGACGAUCCGUAGCUGGUCUGAGAGGAUGAUCAGCCACACUGGAACUGAGACACGGUCCAGACUCCUACGGGAGGCAGCAGUGGGGAAUAUUGGACAAUGGGCGCAAGCCUGAUCCAGCCAUACCGCGUGGGUGAAGAAGGCCUUCGGGUUGUAAAGCCCUUUUGUUGGGAAAGAAAAGCAGCAGGUUAAUACCCCGCUGUUCUGACGGUACCCAAAGAAUAAGCACCGGCUAACUUCGUG